GAUGAACGCUGGCGGCGUGCCUAAUACAUGCAAGUCGAGCGAACAGACGAGGAGCUUGCUCCUCUGACGUUAGCGGCGGACGGGUGAGUAACACGUGGAUAACCUACCUAUAAGACUGGGAUAACUUCGGGAAACCGGAGCUAAUACCGGAUAAUAUAUUGAACCGCAUGGUUCAAUAGUGAAAGACGGUUUUGCUGUCACUUAUAGAUGGAUCCGCGCCGCAUUAGCUAGUUGGUAAGGUAACGGCUUACCAAGGCAACGAUGCGUAGCCGACCUGAGAGAGUGAUCGGCCACACUGGAACUGAGACCCCGUCCAGACUCCUACGGGAGGCAGCAGUAGGGAAUCUUCCGCAAUGGGCGAAAGCCUGACGGAGCAACGCCGCGUGAGUGAUGAAGGUCUUCGGAUCGGAAAACUCUGUUAUUAGGGAAGAACAAAUGUGUAAGUAACUAUGCACGUCUUGACGGUACCUAGUCAGAAAGCCACGGCUAACUACGUG
RNAcentral lists this ribosomal RNA (497 nucleotides) under uncultured bacterium. RNAcentral's name for it is "partial 16S ribosomal RNA". It matches the Rfam family "Bacterial small subunit ribosomal RNA", at positions 28 to 507 of the family's 1533-position model. The record is from RNAcentral.